Molecule: long non-coding RNA, 2043 nt
Organism: Phascolarctos cinereus (koala)
Lineage: Eukaryota; Metazoa; Chordata; Mammalia; Diprotodontia; Phascolarctidae
Source: RefSeq, a predicted model, not a curated record
CAGGACCAGUGUUCUGUCUACUUCACCACCUAGCCUCCCUUCUUCACUUCCUUCUCCUCCUCUGGGACCAGAGGACAGCAGCUAUGACCAGGAGAUGUGGGGCAUUGCUCUGGGCCCUUUCUGCAAGGCCACCACCAUAGGCUGGUAGAGACCCAACACCAUGAGAGAAACAGAUGAUGGAAUGAGCUGUUUCGGGAGGCGGUAUCUGCCCCCUCCUUGGAUUUCUCAGAGGCUGGAAGACCCCUUGUCAGGUAUUGUCACAGGAGACAAUUGAACAUGAUGGCCACUGAUGUCCCUUCCAACUCUCAAAUUCUGCAAUUCUGUGAAGGAGCAGAAACAGCUUUAGCUGCAUCCAGUCUGCUUUUUAGAGGGUGCUAGUGGCUUUCUUUUGGUCUGGACCUGCCUCUGAACACAGGCUUAGCUGGCUUCCUUCCUGACCUACCCCCUCAACCCUUGUCUGCUCCCCCUCCCCACCAUGUCUCUUAGCAUUUCCAUGUGAAAAGGGUGGUGACCUUGGGUGCUUCUUCCAGUCUUUGGCUUCUGACCCUUGACCCCCUACACCACCACCUUCAGUAGGGCCUCUCCAGAGGGGAUGGAUGGAUGGAUAGACUGUGCUUAUGGGUCACUGACCUGGGGAAGCAGGGCCACUGAGGACAAAGGGGGUGGGAGGGACUGGAGGGCACAGCCCCCCCAUGGAGGCCAGGCUCCCUUCCCUUCUUGCUCUCCUCUCCAGGGCAUUCAGCAAGCACUGGGGGGAGGGGAUGGAGAGAGGGAGGACAGGCUCUGAUCCCCAUUCCCCGCACAUUGCCUUGGAUAUCCCCUCUACUGGCUGUAAGCACUGCCCCCACCCCACUUGCUAAAACAGAUCCUGAGGCUUCCCUCAAUACAUUUAACCCAUAAAUUCCCCCUCCUGCUUUUGGAUGGAUGGUUUCUACCCCUCUAGGUGGCCUGGGGCGGCUUCUGUAAGAUUUCUCUAGUGGGGUGGUUUGGAAUGAGAAGGAUCAGGCUAUGUGUGAUUGGACUCUGGCACCCCCUAGGGGUGGCCCCAUUUUGACAUCUUAAAAUUCGAAAACAGUAGAAAUCUUAGAAUGUAGCCUUGAGGAAUCUUGGAAUUCACAGAAGUGCAGAUAUCCUUGCUGGUCUCCAUCCUGCCUGCCUCCUUCAGGACCUAGCUACAGCAGUCUUUCUUUAUUUUUUCAUGGAGCUUCAACCUCUUCCUCUCCAUUGGCUACCUUCUCUACUUUCUUUGAAUGUGAUCCCUCAUUCUAAAAAACCUUUGCUUUCCCUUGUUCUUUCUACUCCAUUCAGAUAGCUACCUUCCCAUCUCUCUCCUCUCCUUUACUACUAAAUUUCUUUUAAAGGGUCAACUGAAUGUAUGCAGAAGAUUAGCAUUUGGUAAACCUAUUAAAAUUAAGAAAAGAAAAACCUGGGGAAAGGAUUCAUUAAUUAUGUCCUUGGUGAAAACUAAGUAGCAAUUUGGGGGGAAAUGAGUUUAAACUUUUAUUUCCCACAAUAUAUUUCAGCAAAUUAUAGUUUAAAUACUUUUUUAAGAACUACCAAAAAAUGGAAGAAAAUUAAUUGUGGAGGGGAGAUAACUUUAUUCUAUUAAACUAUUAGAAGGAAUUGUUAAGGUUAAGAUAUAUGCUCUUGAUGACAUUAGACUUUUUAAUAUUUAGAACAAAAAACAAUAUAAUAGCUAGGAGAAUUGGUAGGUACCUACGAUCUCUGCUACAGCAGGAGACUAGGGCUGGUCACUUCAGUUAGGGAGUUCUGAGCUGUAGUAGGACCACAGCCAAUCAUGUGUCUGCACUAAGUCCAGCACCAGUAUGGCCACUACCACCUCCCAACCCCCAACAGAAAUCCACCAGAUUUCCUAAGGAGAGGCAACCUGGCCCAGGUCAGAAAAAGAGCCGAUUAAAGCUUCCAUUCCAUGCCAAUCAAGAUUGGCAUUUCCAAUGUAGCCAGGUAGGGGAGACCUCCUCUUGAAAAAGUCUUAUCUAUCUAGCUAUCUAUCUAUAUGAGUUGCUUUUUUAAAACUCUGAA